AGGUCAUUUCAAAGAGGGCUUAUGAGACCAAAACCAGGAGCUCUUAAUGCGGUGACCAAAGAUUGAAGUUCUCCAUAGAAUAUAACAGUCAUUCAACAGUGCUAUGUUUUCCUGAGGAAUAAUAAGA
RNAcentral lists this small nucleolar RNA (127 nucleotides) under Moschus moschiferus (Siberian musk deer). RNAcentral's name for it is "Small nucleolar RNA SNORA25 (ENSMMSG00000000305.1)". It matches the Rfam family "Small nucleolar RNA SNORA25". From Rfam's summary of the family: ACA25 is a member of the H/ACA class of snoRNA that guide the sites of modification of uridines to pseudouridines. The record is from Rfam by way of RNAcentral. Lineage: Eukaryota; Metazoa; Chordata; Mammalia; Artiodactyla; Moschidae.